This 512-nucleotide ribosomal RNA is filed under the name uncultured bacterium. Its description in RNAcentral is "partial 16S ribosomal RNA". It matches the Rfam family "Bacterial small subunit ribosomal RNA", at positions 28 to 507 of the family's 1533-position model. The record is from RNAcentral.
GAUGAACGCUGGCGGCGUGCCUAAUACAUGCAAGUCGAACGAAACUUCUUUAUCACCGAGUGCUUGCACUCACCGAUAAAGAGUUGAGUGGCGAACGGGUGAGUAACACGUGGGCAACCUGCCCAAAAGAGGGGGAUAACACUGGGAAACAGGUGCUAAUACCGCAUAACCAUAGUUACCGCAUGGUAACAAUGUAAAAGGUGGCUAUAAUACCGCUUUUGGAUGGGCCAGCGGCGCAUUAGCUAGUUGGUAGGGUAAGGGCUUACCAAGGCAAGGAUGCGUAGCCGCCUUGGGAGGUUGUCCGGCCACCUGGGGACUGAGCCACGGCCCAAACUCCUACGGGAGGCAGCAGUAGGGAAUCUUCGACAAUGGGCGAAGGCCUGAUGGAGCAACGCCGCGUGGGUGAAGAAGGUCUUCGGAUCUUAAGACCCUGUUGUUAGGGAAGAAAGUGCGUGAGAGUAACUGUUCACGUUUCGACGGUAUCUAACCAGAAAGCCACGGCUAACUACGUG